RNAcentral lists this ribosomal RNA (852 nucleotides) under Saccharata proteae. RNAcentral describes it as "eukaryotic LSU rRNA". It matches the Rfam family "Eukaryotic large subunit ribosomal RNA", at positions 68 to 938 of the family's 3401-position model. The record is from RNAcentral. Lineage: Eukaryota; Fungi; Ascomycota; Dothideomycetes; Botryosphaeriales; Saccharataceae. RNAcentral also lists the same sequence under 1 other name.
ACAGGGAUUGCCUCAGUAACGGCGAGUGAAGCGGCAACAGCUCAAAUUUGAAAUCUGGCCCUUUCAGGGUCCGAGUUGUAAUUUGUAGAGGAUGUUUCGGCGAGUGCUCCCGUCUAAGUUCCUUGGAACAGGACGUCAUAGAGGGUGAGAAUCCCGUAUGUGAUGGGUUGCGCGAGCCAUGUGAAACUCCUUCGACGAGUCGAGUUGUUUGGGAAUGCAGCUCUAAAUGGGAGGUAAAUUUCUUCUAAAGCUAAAUACCGGCCAGAGACCGAUAGCGCACAAGUAGAGUGAUCGAAAGAUGAAAAGCACUUUGGAAAGAGAGUUAAAAAGUACGUGAAAUUGUUGAAAGGGAAGCGCUUGCAACCAGACUUGCCCGCAGUUGCUCAACCCGCCUCCUGGCGGGUGUACUCUUCUGCGGUCAGGCCAGCAUCAGUUCGGGCGGCCGGAUAAAGGCGUCGGGAAUGUAGCUCCUCUCGGGGAGUGUUAUAGCCCGGCGCGACAUGCGGCCAGCCUGGACUGAGGAUCUCGCUUCGGCUAGGAUGCUGGCGUAAUGGUUGUAAGCGGCCCGUCUUGAAACACGGACCAAGGAGUCUAACAUCUAUGCGAGUGUUUGGGUGUCAAACCCAUGCGCGUAAUGAAAGUGAACGGAGGUGGGAACGCGCAAGCGUGCACCAUCGACCGAUCCUGAUGUCUUCGGAUGGAUUUGAGUAAGAGCAUAGCUGUUGGGACCCGAAAGAUGGUGAACUAUGCCUGAAUAGGGUGAAGUCAGAGGAAACUCUGAUGGAGGCUCGCAGCGGUUCUGACGUGCAAAUCGAUCGUCAAAUUUGGGUAUAGGGGCGAAAGACUAAUCGA